AUCUUGCGCAAUGGCCUAACGGCUGACGCAGCGACGCCGCGUGUGGGAGGACGCCUUUCGGGGUGUAAACCACUGUUGCCCGGGACGAACAGCGCCAUUCGUGGCGUCUGACGGUACCGGGUGAGGAAGCACCGGCUAACUCCGUGCCAGCAGCCGCGGUAAUACGGAGGGUGCGAGCGUUGUCCGGAAUCAUUGGGCGUAAAGGGCGCGUAGGUGGCCCGGUCAGUCCGUGGUGAAAGCGCGGGGCUCAACCCUGCGUCGGCCAUGGAUACUGCCGCGGCUGGAGCACUGUAGAGGCAGGCGGAAUUCCGGGUGUAGCGGUGGAAUGCGUAGAGAUCCGGAAGAACACCGGUGGCGAAGGCGGCCUGCUGGGCAGUGGGGUGAAGACCCCUUCAAGCUGACACUGAGGCGCGACAGCGUGGGGAGCAAAC
This 431-nucleotide ribosomal RNA is filed under the name uncultured bacterium. RNAcentral describes it as "bacterial SSU rRNA". It matches the Rfam family "Bacterial small subunit ribosomal RNA", at positions 361 to 773 of the family's 1533-position model. The record is from RNAcentral.